RNAcentral lists this ribosomal RNA (493 nucleotides) under uncultured organism. RNAcentral describes it as "SSU rRNA". It matches the Rfam family "Bacterial small subunit ribosomal RNA", at positions 31 to 509 of the family's 1533-position model. The record is from RNAcentral.
GAACGCUGGCGGCGUGCCUAACACAUGCAAGUCGAACGAAGCACUUUUCCCGAGGAAGAGGCGUGCUUGCACAAAUCGGACUCAUUUAAAGUGACUUAGUGGCGGACGGGUGAGUAACGCGUGGGUAACCUGCCUUAUACAGGGGGAUAACAGUUAGAAAUGACUGCUAAUACCGCAUAAGCGCACGGUAUCGCAUGAUACAGUGUGAAAAGCGUAACGGUAUAAGAUGGACCCGCGUCUGAUUAGCCAGUUGGUGAGGUAACGGCUCACCAAAGCGACGAUCAGUAGCCGGCCUGAGAGGGUGAACGGCCACAUUGGGACUGAGACACGGCCCAAACUCCUACGGGAGGCAGCAGUGGGGGAUAUUGCACAAUGGGGGAAACCCUGAUGCAGCGACGCCGCGUGAGUGAUGAAGUAUUUCGGUAUGUAAAGCUCUAUCAGCAGGGAAGAAAAUGACGGUACCUGACUAAGAAGCCCCGGCUAACUACGUGCC